Molecule: ribosomal RNA, 421 nt
Filed under: uncultured bacterium
Lineage: Bacteria
Description: bacterial SSU rRNA
Rfam family: Bacterial small subunit ribosomal RNA
Source: RNAcentral
UAAGGAAUAUUGGUCAAUGGACGCAAGUCUGAACCAGCCAUGCCGCGUGAAGGAUGAAGGUCCUCUGGAUUGUAAACUUCUUUUAUCUGGGACGAAAACGGGAUUUUUAUCCCAAUUGACGGUACCAGAGGAAUAAGCACCGGCUAACUCCGUGCCAGCAGCCGCGGUAAUACGGAGGGUGCGAGCGUUAUCCGGAUUUACUGGGUUUAAAGGGUGCGUAGGUGGGCUUAUAAGUCAGUGGUGAAAUCUCCGAGCUUAACUUGGAAACUGCCGUUGAUACUAUAGGUCUUGAAUUAUCUGGAGGUAAGCGGAAUAUGUCAUGUAGCGGUGAAAUGCUUAGAUAUGACAUAGAACACCAAUUGCGAAGGCAGCUUACUACAUAUAAAUUGACGCUGAGGCACGAAAGCGUGGGGAUCAAACA